UAACUUCUCUCUAACCUCCCUAAACCCCUCCCAAGUCUAGGGAACCUCCCUAUCACGAGAAGAAAGCCCCGAAGCGCCCGACGGCUCCGAGAAGAAAAGAUUUCGGCUCGGAAACGCUGCUCCAGCGAAGCCUGGUUUUUAAUAAAAACCCGUUGUAAGUGAGCUACGCCUAUAGUAUAUUUAAUAUAGAUUUUAUUUAAUUAUAGUAACAUUGUUAGGACCUUAAAAUAAUUAUUUAGGCUAUUAUUAUGAGUUAUAUUGAGUGUUAUUUAACGCUUAUAUAAUAGUAAUAAUAGCUAGACUAUUAAAUUAGUCUCGUCAAGCGUUAGACUAAACUCUAGUGGUAAUGAUACUAGGUUUCGUCAAGGGAUAAUUGUUUUAAGAGUAACGAAGUGCUGUCCGAGUGCCGACUCACCACCUUUCAGGUGAGUGCAUAGUCCCUUUCAUCUUACACAUAGAUAUGAAGUAUUUUAUAUAAACUACGUGCUAUGUGUGCAUAUUAUCUGAAUACUUGCUGUCUAUGCUGGUUGAACGUUUUAUAC
RNAcentral lists this long non-coding RNA (542 nucleotides) under Lactuca sativa (garden lettuce). Its description in RNAcentral is "long non-coding RNA (LSAT_LNC007129)". The record is from RNAcentral. Lineage: Eukaryota; Viridiplantae; Streptophyta; Magnoliopsida; Asterales; Asteraceae.